RNAcentral lists this small RNA (108 nucleotides) under Martinezella paranaensis. Its description in RNAcentral is "Rhizobium paranaense sRNA Atu_At1". It matches the Rfam family "Rhizobiales sRNA Atu_At1". The record is from RNAcentral. Lineage: Bacteria; Pseudomonadati; Pseudomonadota; Alphaproteobacteria; Hyphomicrobiales; Rhizobiaceae.
CUGUAGGCCGUGCCAAACGGACGUGAUGGUGCUGAAGAACAUGGAGAUUUUUCCGUUUUCUCUCCAUGGCCGACGAAUUGGCAGACGAGCUUCCCAUCCAUCCGGUCU